This is a non-coding RNA of Caenorhabditis elegans, 120 nucleotides long. Lineage: Eukaryota; Metazoa; Nematoda; Chromadorea; Rhabditida; Rhabditidae. The record is from Ensembl.
UAAAGAAAGAAAGCAGAUGAGAUAGGAAAAAUUGACAUCAACGCGGAAAAGGAAAAGAGCGCAGGGUGGAAAAGAGAGGAAAACGAUAUUUGGUAUACGGUGUCAGUAUCAUUUCCUUGA